ACGGGAGGCAGCAGUAGGGAAUAUUGGGCAAUGGACGCAAGUCUGACCCAGCCAUGCCGCGUGCAGGAAGACGGCCCUCUGGGUUGUAAACUGCUUUUAUCAGGGAAGAAACCCUUCUACGUGUAGGAGGCUGACGGUACCUGAGGAAUAAGGAUCGGCUAACUCCGUGCCAGCAGCCGCGGUAAUACGGAGGAUCCAAGCGUUGUCCGGAUUUAUUGGGUUUAAAGGGUGCGUAGGCGGACUUAUAAGUCAGAGGUGAAAGCCGGUAGCUUAACUAUCGAAUUGCCUUUGAAACUGCAAGUCUUGAAUUUUGUUGAGGUAGGCGGAAUGUAUCAUGUAGCGGUGAAAUGCAUAGAUAUGAUACAGAACACCGAUUGCGAAGGCAGCUUACUAAGCAAAUAUUGACGCUGAGGCACGAAAGCGUGGGGAUCAAACAGGAUUAGAUACCCUGGUA
Molecule: ribosomal RNA, 454 nt
Filed under: uncultured Sphingobacteriales bacterium
Lineage: Bacteria; Pseudomonadati; Bacteroidota; Sphingobacteriia; Sphingobacteriales
Description: bacterial SSU rRNA
Rfam family: Bacterial small subunit ribosomal RNA
Source: RNAcentral